GCAGCUCUGGCCCUGCAGCUGAGCACAGGCCAACCUGGUCCUGAACGAGGCUGUGGGGGCCCUGAUGUACCACACCAUCACGCUCACCAGGGAGGACCUGGAGAAGUUCAAAGCCCUCCGCAUCAUCGUCCGGAUUGGCAGUGGUUUUGACAACAUCGACAUCAAGUCGGCCGGGGAUUUAGGCAUCGCCGUCUGCAACGUGCCUGCAGCGUCUGUGGAGGAGACGGCCGACUCGACGCUGUGCCACAUCCUGAACCUGUACCGGCGGGCCACCUGGCUGCACCAGGCGCUGCGGGAGGGCACACGAGUCCAGAGCGUCGAGCAGAUCCGCGAGGUGGCGUCCGGCGCCGCCAGGAUCCGCGGGGAGACCUUGGGCAUCAUCGGACUUGGUCGCGUGGGGCAGGCAGUGGCGCUGCGGGCCAAGGCCUUCGGCUUCAAUGUGCUCUUCUACGACCCUUACUUGUCGGAUGGCGUGGAGCGGGCGCUGGGGCUGCAGCGUGUCAGCACCCUGCAGGACCUGCUCUUCCACAGCGACUGCGUGACCCUGCACUGCGGCCUCAACGAGCACAACCACCACCUCAUCAACGACUUCACCGUCAAGCAGAUGAGACAAGGGGCCUUCCUGGUGAACACAGCCCGGGGCGGCCUGGUGGACGA
Molecule: small RNA, 657 nt
Filed under: Pan troglodytes (chimpanzee)
Lineage: Eukaryota; Metazoa; Chordata; Mammalia; Primates; Hominidae
Description: processed transcript
Source: RNAcentral